RNAcentral lists this ribosomal RNA (198 nucleotides) under uncultured bacterium. Its description in RNAcentral is "partial 16S ribosomal RNA". It matches the Rfam family "Bacterial small subunit ribosomal RNA", at positions 328 to 539 of the family's 1533-position model. The record is from RNAcentral.
ACGCUCGACACCUACGGGAGGCGGCAGUGGGGGAUAUUGCACAAUGGGGGAAACCCUGAUGCAGCAACGCCGCGUGAGGGAAGAAGGUUUUCGGAUUGUAAACCUCUGUCCCCGGGGAAGAUAAUGACGGUACCCGGGGAGGAAGCUCCGGCUAACUACGUGCCAGUAGCCGCGGUAAUCUGAGCGGGCUGGCAAGGC